Molecule: ribosomal RNA, 497 nt
Filed under: uncultured bacterium
Lineage: Bacteria
Description: partial 16S ribosomal RNA
Rfam family: Bacterial small subunit ribosomal RNA
Source: RNAcentral
GAUGAACGCUGGCGGCGUGCCUAAUACAUGCAAGUCGAGCGAACAGACGAGGAGCUUGCUCCUCUGACGUUAGCGGCGGACGGGUGAGUAACACGUGGAUAAAAUACCUAUAAGACUGGGAUAACUUCGGGAAAACGGAGCUAAUACCGGAUAAUAUAUUGAACCGCAUGGUUCAAUAGUGAAAGACGGUUUUGCUGUCACUUAUAGAUGGAUCCGCGCCGCAUUAGCUAGUUGGUAAGGUAACGGCUUACCAAGGCAACGAUGCGUAGCCGACCUGAGAGGGUGAUCGGCCACACUGGAACUGAGACACGGUCCAGACUCCUACGGGAGGCAGCAGUAGGGAAUCUUCCGCAAUGGGCGAAAGCCUGACGGAGCAACGCCGCGUGAGUGAUGAAGGUCUUCGGAUCGUAAAACUCUGUUAUUAGGGAAGAACAAAUGUGUAAGUAACUAUGCACGUCUUGACGGUACCUAAUCAGAAAGCCACGGCUAACUACGUG